UUUCUUGGAAAGUCCCGUUAUUUAGGUGUUUCUUUAGAAAAUCAUUGUAUAACAAUGGUUUCGGGCCUAUUCUGGGAGGAG
Non-coding RNA from Cordylochernes scorpioides, 81 nucleotides. The record is from the annotation of a GenBank genome assembly. Lineage: Eukaryota; Metazoa; Arthropoda; Arachnida; Pseudoscorpiones; Chernetidae.